RNAcentral lists this ribosomal RNA (433 nucleotides) under uncultured bacterium. RNAcentral's name for it is "partial 16S ribosomal RNA". It matches the Rfam family "Bacterial small subunit ribosomal RNA", at positions 29 to 507 of the family's 1533-position model. The record is from RNAcentral.
AACGAACGCUGGCGGCAUGCCUAACACAUGCAAGUCGAACGAGACCUUCGGGUCUAGUGGCGCACGGGUGCGUAACGCGUGGGAACCUGCCCUUAGGUUCGGAAUAACUCCCCGAAAGGGGUGCUAAUACCGGAUAAUGUCUUCGGACCAAAGAUUUAUCGCCUUUGGAUGGGCCCGCGUUGGAUUAGCUAGUUGGUAGGGUAAAAGCCUACCGAGGCGACGAUCCAUAGCUGGUCUGAGAGACUGAUCAGCCACACUGGGACUGAGACACGGCCCAGACUCCUACGGGAGGCAGCAGUGGGGAAUAGUGGACAAUGGGCGAAAGCCUGAUCCAGCAAGGCCGCGUGAGUGAUGAAGGCCUUAGGGUUGUAAAGCUCUUUUACCCGGGAUGAUAAUGACAGUACCGGGAGAAUAAGCUCCGGCUAACUCCGUG